GAUGAACGCUAGCUACAGGCUUAACACAUGCAAGUCGCGGGGCAGCAUGGGGGUUGCUUGCAAUCCCCGAUGGCGACCGGCGCACGGGUGAGUAACGCGUAUCCAACCUGCCCUUCACCACGGGAUAACCCGGCGAAAGUCGGACUAAUACCGUAUGUUGUCCAUUGACGGCAUCCGAUUUGGACGAAAGGUUUGGCGGUGAAGGAUGGGGAUGCGUCCGAUUAGCUGGACGGCGGGGUGACGGCCCACCGUGGCGACGAUCGGUAGGGGUUCUGAGAGGAAGGUCCCCCACACUGGAACUGAGACACGGUCCAGACUCCUACGGGAGGCAGCAGUGAGGAAUAUUGGUCAAUGGGCGUAAGCCUGAACCAGCCAAGUAGCGUGCAGGAUGACGGCCCUAUGGGUUGUAAACUGCUUUUAUGCGGGGAUGAAGUGGUCCACGUGUGGGUUUUUGCAGGUACCGCAUGAAUAAGGACCGGCUAAUUCCGUG
RNAcentral lists this ribosomal RNA (490 nucleotides) under uncultured bacterium. RNAcentral's name for it is "partial 16S ribosomal RNA". It matches the Rfam family "Bacterial small subunit ribosomal RNA", at positions 28 to 507 of the family's 1533-position model. The record is from RNAcentral.